RNAcentral lists this ribosomal RNA (520 nucleotides) under uncultured Sphingomonas sp. Its description in RNAcentral is "bacterial SSU rRNA". It matches the Rfam family "Bacterial small subunit ribosomal RNA", at positions 16 to 582 of the family's 1533-position model. The record is from RNAcentral. Lineage: Bacteria; Pseudomonadati; Pseudomonadota; Alphaproteobacteria; Sphingomonadales; Sphingomonadaceae.
AUCAUGGCUCAGAACGAACGCUGGCGGCAUGCCUAAUACAUGCAAGUCGAACGAGAUCUUCGGAUCUAGUGGCGCACGGGUGCGUAACGCGUGGGAAUCUGCCCUUGGGUUCGGAAUAACUUCUGGAAACGGAAGCUAAUACCGGAUGAUGACGUAAGUCCAAAGAUUUAUCGCCCAAGGAUGAGCCCGCGUAGGAUUAGCUAGUUGGUGGGGUAAAGGCCCACCAAGGCGACGAUCCUUAGCUGGUCUGAGAGGAUGAUCAGCCACACUGGGACUGAGACACGGCCCAGACUCCUACGGGAGGCAGCAGUAGGGAAUAUUGGACAAUGGGCGAAAGCCUGAUCCAGCAAUGCCGCGUGAGUGAUGAAGGCCUUAGGGUUGUAAAGCUCUUUUACCCGGGAUGAUAAUGACAGUACCGGGAGAAUAAGCUCCGGCUAACUCCGUGCCAGCAGCCGCGGUAAUACGGAGGGAGCUAGCGUUGUUCGGAAUUACUGGGCGUAAAGCGCACGUAGGCGGCUAU